Molecule: long non-coding RNA, 205 nt
Filed under: Carica papaya (papaya)
Lineage: Eukaryota; Viridiplantae; Streptophyta; Magnoliopsida; Brassicales; Caricaceae
Description: long non-coding RNA (CPAP_LNC007987)
Source: RNAcentral
CAUUUAGUAAAUUAAGAUUCGUUGGGAACAAAAAAGUAAGUAGACAACGACAUAAUGGACAUUUACAUUGUUGAAAAGUGGAUCCAUGUUGCUAGACUAGCAUAAUGCAACUUUUUAGGGAAGAAUAAAAAAAGAAUCUGAAUUAUCUUAUAGAAUGAUUAUAAUUCAGAAUGAGCAAGGAUCAUAAUCAACUUUGAAUUCAUAU